GUGCUCGCUUCUGCAGCACAUAUACUAAAAUUGGAAUGACACAUAGAAGAUUAGCAUGGCCCCUGUGCAAGGAUGACAUGCAAAUUCGAGAAGCGUUCCAUAUUUUU
Small nuclear RNA from Pongo abelii (Sumatran orangutan), 107 nucleotides. The record is from Ensembl. Lineage: Eukaryota; Metazoa; Chordata; Mammalia; Primates; Hominidae.